This 472-nucleotide ribosomal RNA is filed under the name uncultured bacterium. RNAcentral's name for it is "bacterial SSU rRNA". It matches the Rfam family "Bacterial small subunit ribosomal RNA", at positions 355 to 825 of the family's 1533-position model. The record is from RNAcentral.
UGGGGAAUUUUGCGCAAUGGACGAAAGUCUGACGCAGCGACGCCGCGUGUGCGAUGAAGGCCUUUGGGUCGUAAAGCACUGUCGACCGGGACGAAAACUCACGGACUAAUACUUCGUGAGUCUGACGGUACUGGUAAAGGAAGCACCGGCUAACUCUGUGCCAGCAGCCGCGGUAAUACAGAGGGUGCAAACGUUGCUCGGAAUUAUUGGGCGUAAAGCGCGUGUAGGCGGCUUGUUAAGUUGGUUGUGAAAACCCAUGGCUCAACCAUGGAAGUGCGUCCAAAACUGGCAAGCUAGAGUUCUGACGAGGAUGGCGGAAUUCCCAGUGUAGAGGUGAAAUUCGUAGAUACUGGCAGGAACACCGGAGGCGAAGGCGGCCAUCUGGAUCACAACUGACGCUGAUACUCGAAAGCGUGGGGAGCAAACAGGAUUAGAUACCCUCGUAGUCCCUGAGCGGGCUGGCAAGGCGCAU